This is a long non-coding RNA of Uranotaenia lowii, 390 nucleotides long. RefSeq lists it as uncharacterized. The transcript has 2 exons. The record is from RefSeq and is a predicted model, not a curated record. Lineage: Eukaryota; Metazoa; Arthropoda; Insecta; Diptera; Culicidae.
CAAACAUGCCACAAGAAGAAGAAGAUCAUUAAAAAUGUCAACAAAGUGUAAUUUGGACGGCAACGAAAGUUUUGCGUGCGAUUUAAACAAUCGAAAGGUAAUACCCGGAAUUAUGCAUCCCCUGCCUAGCCCGGUUGUCCGCAAUUCGGUGCAAUUGCCCCGGUCAUCUUUCAUACAGAAUCCGGAUGUUUCAGCAUCACAUUUGGAGAAAAAAAACCGCCUCUAUCGUCGGAUUGGAUUGGUAAGCUUUGACGUAAUGUGUGUACCGGAGGAUCGUUUUUUUUAUCGAACAAAAUACCCGGAAAAUGAUCCUAAGGCCGUUGGAGCUGAUGCGUGGCUGUGUCAAUUAGUGAGUCUUAUUAAUUGGAUAAUAAAAAAAAGUGAAUCACA